AAAACUUUUUCGAAAAAAAAAAAAAUCUGUUCUUAUCAGUUUAAUAUCUGAUACGUCCCCCAUCCGGGGACUACAUAUUAAAUGGAUUUUUAGAUCACGGAGCUGGAGCCGGGGCUUGCUCCGUCCACUCCAUGCAUCGGCCUGGUAUUGCAGUGUCUCCAGGAACGGUGUGCUUUCC
Molecule: small nuclear RNA, 178 nt
Filed under: Carassius auratus (goldfish)
Lineage: Eukaryota; Metazoa; Chordata; Actinopteri; Cypriniformes; Cyprinidae
Description: U2 spliceosomal RNA (ENSCARG00000026128.1)
Rfam family: U2 spliceosomal RNA
About the family: U2 is a small nuclear RNA (snRNA) component of the spliceosome (involved in pre-mRNA splicing). Complementary binding between U2 snRNA (in an area lying towards the 5' end but 3' to hairpin I) and the branchpoint sequence (BPS) of the intron results the bulging out of an unpaired adenosine, on the BPS, which initiates a nucleophilic attack at the intronic 5' splice site, thus starting the first of two transesterification reactions that mediate splicing.
Source: Rfam by way of RNAcentral